This 450-nucleotide ribosomal RNA is filed under the name uncultured bacterium. RNAcentral's name for it is "bacterial SSU rRNA". It matches the Rfam family "Bacterial small subunit ribosomal RNA", at positions 354 to 796 of the family's 1533-position model. The record is from RNAcentral.
GUGGGGAAUAUUGGACAAUGGGGGCAACCCUGAUCCAGCGAUGCCGCGUGAGUGAAGAAGGCCUUCGGGUCGUAAAGCUCUUUAGGUUGGGAAGAAGUUUAUUAUCGGACAAUGAUAGUAGAUUGACGGUACCGACAGAAUAAGCACCGGCAAACUCUGUGCCAGCAGCCGCGGUAAUACAGAGGGUGCAAGCGUUAAUCGGAGUUACUGGGCGUAAAGGGCGCGUAGGCGGUGAGAUGUGUGUGAUGUGAAAGCCCCGGGCUUAACCUGGGAAGUGCAUCGCAAACUAUCUGACUGGAGUAGAUGAGAGGGUGGCGGAAUUUCCGGUGUAGCGGUGAAAUGCGUAGAGAUCGGAAGGAACGUCAAUGGCGAAGGCAGCCACCUGGCAUCAUACUGACGCUGAGGCGCGAAAGCGUGGGGAGCGAACAGGAUUAGAUACCCGGGUAGUCC